RNAcentral lists this ribosomal RNA (253 nucleotides) under uncultured bacterium. Its description in RNAcentral is "partial 16S ribosomal RNA". It matches the Rfam family "Bacterial small subunit ribosomal RNA", at positions 524 to 776 of the family's 1533-position model. The record is from RNAcentral.
UACGUAGGGUGCGAGCGUUAAUCGGAAUUACUGGGCGUAAAGCGUGCGCAGGCGGUUUUGUAAGCCAGAUGUGAAAUCCCCGGGCUUAACCUGGGAAUGGCAUUUGGGACUGCAAGGCUGGAGUGUGGCAGAGGAGACUGGAAUUCCUGGUGUAGCAGUGAAAUGCGUAGAUAUCCGGAGGAACACCGGUGGCGAAGGCGGCUUCCUGGACCGACACUGACGCUGAGGCGCGAAAGCUAGGGGAGCAAACGGG